GGUCAGACUUCACAGAUAGGAACAGAUCAAUCAGGAAGUAUUACAACCGUGGACAUUGCAGAUGGAAAUGGAUAUUAUUAUAUCCUCGAUACAACAACAUCACAAAUUGAUAAAUAUGAUAAAUCGACAGAUACAGUGGCUACUACGAUUUCACUUUCAACUGAAGCAACACGAAUAAUUGUUGUGUUUGAUAAGGACCACUGUUCUUUGAAUAACACCUGUCCUGCGAACUCAACAUGUACGAACUCUCCUGGCACCAUUGUAUGCUCAUGUGACACUGGAUUCACUGGAAAUCAAACAUAUUGCCAAGACGUUGAUGAAUGCAAAACAACCUCCCCAUGUCAUUCCAAUGCUACAUGCAAUAACACAGAUGGAUCUUAUAUCUGCACGUGUCAUUUUGGAUAUAAUGGAUUUAACUGCACAGAUGUCGACGAAUGCUUAACAUCUUCCCCAUGUCAUUCCAAUGCUACGUGCAAUAACACAAAUGCAUCUUAUUUUUGCACAUGUGAUUCUGGAUAUAGUGGAGAUGGAUAUAAUUGCACAGAUGUUGACGAAUGCGUAAUAUUUCCCCCAUG
Dendronephthya gigantea is the source of this 575-nucleotide long non-coding RNA. RefSeq lists it as uncharacterized. The transcript has 5 exons. The record is from RefSeq and is a predicted model, not a curated record. NCBI's taxonomy places the organism in Eukaryota, Metazoa, Cnidaria, Anthozoa, Malacalcyonacea, Nephtheidae.